UGCCAGCCGCCGCGGUAAGACGGAGGGUGCAAACGUUGUUCGGAAUCACUGGGCAUAAAGCGCGCGUAGGCGGUUCUCUAAGUCAGGUGUGAAAUCCCCCGGCUCAACCGGGGAACUGCACCUGAUACUGGAGAACUCGAGGAUGGUAGGGGUAAGCGGAACUCCAGGUGGAGCGGUGAAAUGCGUAGAUAUCUGGAGGAACACCGGUGGCGAAAGCGGCUUACUGGGCCAUCUCUAACGCUGAGAUGCGAAAGCGUGGGGAGCAAACAGGAUUAGAUA
Molecule: ribosomal RNA, 279 nt
Filed under: uncultured bacterium
Lineage: Bacteria
Description: partial 16S ribosomal RNA
Rfam family: Bacterial small subunit ribosomal RNA
Source: RNAcentral